GAUGAACGCUGGCGGCGUGCCUAAUACAUGCAAGUCGAGCGAGCGGAACCAACAGAUUUACUUCGGUAAUGACGUUGGGAAAGCGAGCGGCGGAUGGGUGAGUAACACGUGGGGAACCUGCCCCUAAGUCUGGGAUACCAUUUGGAAACAGGUGCUAAUACCGCAUAGUUUCUUUUUCCGCCUGGAAGAAGAAGGAAAGAUGGCCUUUGCGCUAUCACUGAGGGAUGGACCCGCGGCGUAUUAGUUAGUUGGUGGGGUAAUGGCCUACCAAGACGAUGAUACGUGGCCGACCUGAGAGGGUGAUCGGCCACAUUGGGACUGAGACACGGCCCAG
Molecule: ribosomal RNA, 334 nt
Filed under: uncultured bacterium
Lineage: Bacteria
Description: bacterial SSU rRNA
Rfam family: Bacterial small subunit ribosomal RNA
Source: RNAcentral